Molecule: non-coding RNA, 1502 nt
Organism: Peromyscus maniculatus bairdii (prairie deer mouse)
Lineage: Eukaryota; Metazoa; Chordata; Mammalia; Rodentia; Cricetidae
Source: RefSeq, a predicted model, not a curated record
GAGACUAAGUCUAACAGGUCCCCGGGAUUCUAUUUCCUCCCACAAGUCGUUACCCUGAACAUGCAUCCCAACUGUGUCCAAUUAGCAGAUCACAACUCUGACACUGGAGGAGACAGUCCUACACAGAGGUCACAGAAAAGAGCCACAGUGAAGUCUCGUCAGGAGCGUCUCCUCGCCCUGCCAGUGUCCUCAUGCUUCCUCCAGUUCUAGAUUUCCUCCACCGGAUCAUCUUUCCCCAAACGCUGACGUAAUCACACGGGGAAGAAAUGAGCACAGGAGACAUCUGGAGGGACUCGGAAACCCGGAGAGGUGGCCAGCUGAGUCGGCAUUUGUCACGCAGGGAGCGGAAACGGGAACAAGAUCGGCAGAAGGAACGGUGAAAUCACAAAGCCAGGCCGUGUGGCAAUCACCGUGCCCUGCUGUGUAGCAGUAGCAGCACCCGGGUGAAGCUCUCACACAGUCCAAUAUUCAUCUUGUCCACAAAGCUACAAGAGAGAACCAGGAUGGAGCCAAGUCCAAGGCUGAAGGCUCCUAAGUUCCCUGGAGGAUUUGGUGUGAGUGUGCAUGCAAAAGCUGAAGAAUCAAGAGUGUGGUGCCCAGGGUAAUGAAGCCACCAAGAAAUACACCUGCUCAAGAAAAACGAGGCUUGCACUGAAGGACUAGCCAAGCCCCCUGCAUCUUUCAGGUUUUGUUCCAUCCCACCCCACCCCCAGUCUAUUGGACAGUGGCCAUAAAGGCGGUUCUGGGAAAAUUCCCCACCGUUGCUGAAAUGAACACUAUCAGGGAGCUCUCAAGAACUCCUAGUAAGCAUCUGCAUUUAUGUAAGAUGUGCUUCGAAAUUCUUCCAGUGUCACUGCCAGUCAGCUCUAGACAUGCCCCCCGCGGACACACCCAGAAGUGGCCUUUACCCAUUUUCUAGACAUCACACAAUUCUAUCAAGUUGAGGAUUAAGUAACGCAGAUAAAAGUGUCACCUUUUGCCAAGGAUGUUUGGUUACAUUCCGGGAUAGAGAGAAAUCUCUCUCCAAAGGGCAGAAGGCAAACCAACAGUGUGAUGAGCUCAGGAUCCACUGAUUUGGAGGUAACACCUGGCCCCAUCCCAUCAUCAUCUGGACAUUGUAAGGAGUUGUACUUAAUGCUGCUGUGGAUGUUCUUCUUGCUAUGAGGGAUAAUGGAUGCCUCUCUUCAUGGGUCUUCUGCCCACCCAUCAUAUGCUUAUAAAGGAGGAUUUGGAACCGACAAAGAAUCCCGCUUCUGAACAGAUCCGCGGAGGACAUUCCCAGGAAGGACUAACUGAGAGGGGUGAGACUCUCCAAGAGUGAGCAGCACCUUUUGGCAUAAGAGGCCUGAGAGGCCCAGCUACAAAGAGGUCUGAGGAAAAGGCGGGGCUCCUUCUUUCUCCGACUUCCCUUAUUGUGAGGGAGUGGACCCACCCUGUUGUUGCGGCGGCUGUCAACAGAAUUAUGUUGUGUUGGUUUGGUUGUCUGAAUAAGAAUGGUCCCC